AGGACGAACGCUGGCGGCGCGCCUAAAACAUGCAAGUCGAACGAGAAACCCGGGCUUGCUCGGGUGGACAGUGGCGAACGGGUGAGUAACACGUGAGGAACCUGCCCCGAAGACCGGGACAACACCGGGAAACCGGUGCUAAUACCGGAUACCUUCACCGAAUCGCAUGGUCUGGUGAAGAAAUGGAUUCCGCUUCGGGAUGGCCUCGCGGCCUAUCAGCUUGUUGGUGAGGUAAUGGCUCACCAAGGCGACGACGGGUAGCUGGUCUGAGAGGAUGUCCAGCCACACUGGGACUGAGACACGGCCCAGACUCCUACGGAGGCAGCAGUUAGGAAUCUUGCGCAAUGGGCGAAAGCCUGACGCAGCGACGCCGCGUGCGGGAUGAAGGCCUUCGGGUGUAAACCGCUUUCAGCAGGGACGAAAUUGACGGUACCUGCAGAAGAAGCCCCGGCAACUACGUGCCAGCAGCCGCGGUAA
RNAcentral lists this ribosomal RNA (477 nucleotides) under uncultured bacterium. RNAcentral's name for it is "SSU rRNA". It matches the Rfam family "Bacterial small subunit ribosomal RNA", at positions 26 to 523 of the family's 1533-position model. The record is from RNAcentral.